UACGUAGGGUGCAAGCGUUGUCCGGAAUUAUUGGGCGUAAAGAGCUCGUAGGCGGUUUGUUGCGUCGGCUGUGAAAUCCCGAGGCUCAACCUCGGGUCUGCAGUCGAUACGAGCAAACUAGAGUGUUGCAGGGGAGACUGGAAUUCCUGGUGUAGCGGUGAAAUGCGCAGAUAUCUGGAGGAACACCGGUGGCGAAGGCGGCAUCCUGGACCGGUAUCGACGCUGAGGCGCGAAAGCCAGGGGAGCAAACGGG
This 253-nucleotide ribosomal RNA is filed under the name uncultured bacterium. Its description in RNAcentral is "partial 16S ribosomal RNA". It matches the Rfam family "Bacterial small subunit ribosomal RNA", at positions 524 to 776 of the family's 1533-position model. The record is from RNAcentral.